RNAcentral lists this ribosomal RNA (440 nucleotides) under uncultured bacterium. RNAcentral's name for it is "partial 16S ribosomal RNA". It matches the Rfam family "Bacterial small subunit ribosomal RNA", at positions 338 to 795 of the family's 1533-position model. The record is from RNAcentral.
CCUACAGGAGGCAGCAGUGGGGAAUAUUGCACAAUGGGGGAAACCCUGAUGCAGCGACGCCGCGUGAGUGAAGAAGUAAUUCGUUAUGUAAAGCUCUAUCAGCAGGGAAGAAAAUGACGGUACUUGAGUAAGAAGCCCCGGCUAACUACGUGCCAGCAGCCGCGGUAAUACGUAGGGGGCAAGCGUUAUCCGGAUUUACUGGGUGUAAAGGGAGCGUAGACGGCAGUGCAAGUCUGGAGUGAAAGGCGGGGGCUCAACCCCCGGACUGCUCUGGAAACUGUACGGCUGGAGUGCAGGAGAGGUAAGUGGAAUUCCUAGUGUAGCGGUGAAAUGCGUAGAUAUUAGGAGGAACACCAGUGGCGAAGGCGGCUUACUGGACUGUAACUGACGUUGAGGCUCGAAAGCGUGGGGAGCAAACAGGAUUAGAUACCCCAGUAGUC